Molecule: RNA transcript, 635 nt
Organism: Rhododendron vialii
Lineage: Eukaryota; Viridiplantae; Streptophyta; Magnoliopsida; Ericales; Ericaceae
Exons: 9
Source: RefSeq, a predicted model, not a curated record
UUUCUUUGUUGCACGCCGUUGUACACGAAGUUGCUGCUUUAUUGAAGAGACGGAAUUUGUUAGUGGAUUGGAGGAGGAGCAAUGGAACUUUCUAAACGGAAAGGGAAGGCCGUCUGUGUAGCCAAGGGAAAGGAAACUGUUGCUCAUCAAGUGCUGGAUGGUGAUUUGGAGAAAAUUGUUAAGUUUCUUCGAGAAAAGAAUGUUGGCAUAGUGAUCUGUGAUGAACUAGAAUUGAAUCAGGUGAUCAAUUGGACUGGUUUGAGAGGUAUUGCCUUAUGUCAGGCAGUUUUGGCUUGGUUUAUGAUUUACGAGGCAAACAUGUCCAUUGGAACUCCAACAACAGCAACUAGCAGAUUAUACUCCGUAAUAUGGCAUCGCCAGCACUGCUUUCGUUUGUUUACUAUAUGCUGCUUGUCCUUUGAUUUCAGAGGCACGGCUUUGGGCGUCAACCUAAUGCAAAGAAUAAGAAGGACAAGAAGGCACACAAAGUGACAACCUCUCGUGCGGAGCAGGAUGCAGUAUUAGAAGCAAGGAAAACAUCUACUAGACAGCCAGGCUCCAUAAACAAUUGGAAUAGGAGGUGCAAUUGCAGUCUUUGGGUUGGUUUUUGCUCUUGGAGAUUUUGUUCCCACGGG